UACGCCCGAAGGGAACCUGGAUUAAUACCGGAUGAGACGGGACCCGCGAAGGCGGGACCCGGGAAAGGCGCUGCGGCGCCGCCGGGGGAUGAGUCUGCGUCCCAUUAGCUAGACGGCGGGGUAACGGCCCACCGUGGCGACGAUGGGUAGCCGGCCUGAGAGGGUGGACGGCCACAUUGGAACUGAGACACGGUCCAGACUCCUACGGGAGGCAGCAGCUAAGAAUCUUCCGCAAUGGGCGAAAGCCUGACGGAGCGAACCGCCGCGUGAACGAAGAAGGCCGUGAGGUUGUAAAGUUCUUUUCGGGAGGGGGAACAACCGUGGCAGGGAAUGGCCGCGGGAUGACGUGAAUCCCGGAAUAAGCCCCGGCUAACUACGUGCCAGCCGCCGC
Molecule: ribosomal RNA, 391 nt
Filed under: uncultured bacterium
Lineage: Bacteria
Description: bacterial SSU rRNA
Rfam family: Bacterial small subunit ribosomal RNA
Source: RNAcentral